AGAGUUUGAUCAUGGCUCAGGAUGAACGCUGGCGGCGUGCCUAACACAUGCAAGUCGAACGGAAUUUACAUGAAGCCUAGCGAUUGUAAAUUUAGUGGCGGACGGGUGAGUAACGCGUGGGUAACCUGCCUUGUACUGGGGGACAACAGUUGGAAACGACUGCUAAUACCGCAUAAGCGCACAGCUUCGCAUGAAGCAGUGUGAAAAACUCCCGUGGUACAAGAUGGACCCGCGUCUGAUUAGAUAGUUGGUGAGGUAACGGCUCACCAAGUCGACGAUCAGUAGCCGGACUGAGAGGUUGAACGGCCACAUUGGGACUGAGACACGGCCCAGACUCCUACGGGAGGCAGCAGUGGGGAAUAUUGCACAAUGGGGGAAACCCUGAUGCAGCGAUGCCGCGUGGAGGAAGAAGGUUUUCGGAUUGUAAACUCCUGUCUUAAAGGACGAUAAUGACGGUACUUUAGGAGGAAGCUCCGGCUAACUACGUGCCAGCAGCCGCGGUAAUACGUAGGGAGCGAGCGUUGUCCGGAAUUACUGGGUGUAAAGGGAGCGUAGGCGGGACGGCAAGUCAGAUGUGAAAUACAUGGGCUCAACCCAUGGGCUGCAUUUGAAACUGCUGUUCUUGAGUGAAGUAGGGGUAAGCGGAAUUCGUGGUGUAGCGGUGAAAUGCUUAGAUAUCACGAAGAACUCCGAUUGCGAAGGCAGCUCACUGGGGCGCAACUGACGCUGAAGCUCGAAAGCGCGGGUAUCGAACAGGAUUAGAUACCCUGGUAGUCCGCGCGGUAAACGAUGGAUGCCCGCUGUUGGGCCAACUGGUUCAGCGGCCAAGCGAAAGCAUUAAGCAUCCCACCUGGGGAGUACGCCGGCAACGGUGAAACUCAAAGGAAUUGACGGGGGCCCGCACAAGCGGAGGAACAUGUGGUUUAAUUCGAUGAUACGCGAGGAACCUUACCCGGGCUUGAAUUGCAGAGGAAGGACUUGGAGACAAUGACGCCCUUCGGGGCCUCUGUGAAGGUGCUGCAUGGUUGUCGUCAGCUCGUGCCGUGAGGUGUCGGCUUAAGUGCCAUAACGAGCGCAACCCCUCUCCAUAGUUGCCAUCAGGUGAAGCUGGGCACUCUGUGGACACUGCCACCGUAAGGUGCGAGGAAGGUGGGGAUGACGUCAAAUCAGCACGGCCCUUACGUCCGGGGCUACACACGUGUUACAAUGGCAGGUACAGAGAGCCGGUCGUAUGCAAAUACGAUCCAAUCCUUAAAGCCUGUCUCAGUUCGGACUGGGGUCUGCAACCCGACCCCACGAAGCUGGAUUCGCUAGUAAUCGCGCAUCAGCCAUGGCGCGGUGAAUACGUUCCCGGGCCUUGUACACACCGCCCGUCAAGCCAUGAAAGCCGGGGGCGCCUGAAGUCCGUGACCGCAAGGAUCGGCCUAGGGCGAAACUGGUAAUUGGGGCUAAGUCGUAACAAGGUA
This 1466-nucleotide ribosomal RNA is filed under the name metagenome. Its description in RNAcentral is "bacterial SSU rRNA". It matches the Rfam family "Bacterial small subunit ribosomal RNA". The record is from RNAcentral.